Molecule: unclassified non-coding RNA, 229 nt
Filed under: plant metagenome
Description: partial contains small subunit ribosomal RNA, internal transcribed spacer 1, and 5.8S ribosomal RNA
Source: RNAcentral
UCUCCGUAGGUGAACCUGCGGAGGGAUCAUUACAGAGUUCUCGCCCUCGCGGGUAGACCUCCCACCCACUGUUAUCGUUACUGUGUUGCUUUGGCGGGCCGCCGGGCCCCGCUCGGACGCCGGCUCCGGCUGGCGCGCGCCCGCCAGAGGCCCAGCAAACUCUGAAUGUUAGUGUCGUCUGAGUACUAUAUAAUAGUUAAAACUUUCAACAACGGAUCUCUCGGUUCUG